AGGACGAACGCUGGCGGCGCGCUUAACACAUGCAAGUCGAGCGAGAACCGGGGCUUCGGCCCUGGGGACAGCGGCGAACGGGUGAGUAACACGUGGGUAAUCAACCCUCGGCACCGGGAUAGCCCGGGAAACUGGGUCUAAAUACCGGAUAUGACCACUGAUCACAUGGUUGGUGGUGGAAAGUUUUUCGGUCAGGGAUGGGCUCGCGGCCUAUCAGCUUGUUGGUGGGGUAGUGGCCUACCAAGGCGACGACGGGUA
RNAcentral lists this ribosomal RNA (258 nucleotides) under uncultured bacterium. Its description in RNAcentral is "partial small subunit ribosomal RNA". It matches the Rfam family "Bacterial small subunit ribosomal RNA", at positions 26 to 285 of the family's 1533-position model. The record is from RNAcentral.